GGGCGCUUAGCUCAGAUGGUAGAGCGUCUGCCUUACACGCAGAAUGUCGGCGGUUCGAUCCCGUCAGCGCCCA
Molecule: non-coding RNA, 73 nt
Organism: Polynucleobacter sp.
Lineage: Bacteria; Pseudomonadati; Pseudomonadota; Betaproteobacteria; Burkholderiales; Burkholderiaceae
Source: Rfam